UCUGUUUGAUCCUGGCGGAGGUUACUGCUAUCGAGGUUCGACUAAGCCAUGCGAGUCGAAUGUAGCAAUACAUGGCGUACUGCUCAGUAACACGUGACAACCUACCCUCCGGACGGGGAUAAACCCGGGAAACUGGGUAUAAUACCCGAUAGAUCUCGACUGCUGGAAUGCAUCGAGAUCGAAAGCUCCGGCGCCAGAGGAUGGGUCUGCGGCCUAUCAGGUAGUAGUGGGUGUAGCGUACCUACUAGCCUACGACGGGUACGGGUUGUGAGAGCAAGAGCCCGGAGAUGGAUUCUGAGACACGAAUCCAGGCCCUACGGGGUGCAGCAGCGCGAAAACUUUACAAUGCUGGCAACAGCGAUAAGGGGACCUCGAGUGCCAGGUUACAAAUCUGGCUGUCGUGAUGCCUAAAAAGCAUUGCAUAGCAAGGGCCGGGCAAGACCGGUGCCAGCCGCCGCGGUAACACCGGCGGCUCGAGUGGUAGCCGUUAUUAUUGGGUCUAAAGGGUCUGUAGCCGGCCGGAUAAGUCUCUUGGGAAAUCUGGCAGCUUAACUGACAGGCUUUCAGGAGAUACUGUCUGGCUCGAGGCCGGGAGAGGUGAGAGGUACUCAGGGGUAGGGGGAAAUCUUGUAUCUGAAGGACCACC
Molecule: ribosomal RNA, 646 nt
Filed under: uncultured Methanosaeta sp.
Lineage: Archaea; Methanobacteriati; Methanobacteriota; Methanomicrobia; Methanotrichales; Methanotrichaceae
Description: bacterial SSU rRNA
Rfam family: Archaeal small subunit ribosomal RNA
Source: RNAcentral